Long non-coding RNA from Glycine soja, 297 nucleotides. RefSeq lists it as uncharacterized. NCBI's taxonomy places the organism in Eukaryota, Viridiplantae, Streptophyta, Magnoliopsida, Fabales, Fabaceae. The transcript is spliced from 3 exons. The record is from RefSeq and is a predicted model, not a curated record.
UCCUGAGCGCUUGAGUAGGGUGGAAUCAAUUUUUGGCAAUCUUUCAGAAACCAUUAAAAUAUAUGGUCCUUGGUCUUCUGCAUGGGUAGGAGAAGCUGGAGGGGCAUACAACAGUGGUGGCAAUCAUGUUUCUAACAGAUUUCUAAACAGCUUUUGGUACUUAGAUCAACUUGGAAUAGCAUCCUGCUACAGCACUAAAGUCUAUUGCAGGCAGACUUUAAUUGGAGGGAACUAUGGCCUUCUCAAUGCCACCACCUUUGCUCCCAAUCCUGACUACUACAGUGCAGUUUUGUGGCA